UUCGGCGGAAGCGUCGUUC
This 19-nucleotide small nuclear RNA is filed under the name Arabidopsis thaliana (thale cress). Its description in RNAcentral is "snRNA_11091". Lineage: Eukaryota; Viridiplantae; Streptophyta; Magnoliopsida; Brassicales; Brassicaceae. The record is from RNAcentral.